RNAcentral lists this ribosomal RNA (435 nucleotides) under Triticum aestivum (bread wheat). RNAcentral describes it as "partial small subunit ribosomal RNA". Lineage: Eukaryota; Viridiplantae; Streptophyta; Magnoliopsida; Poales; Poaceae. The record is from RNAcentral.
AUGGCAGUAUUUGUGGGAGUAAAAACAUGGUCUUCAAAAAAGAUCGUGCUACCUGUCGAUGGAGAUAGAACCACGGUUGUAGUUGCCCAAGAACCAGCCCCACCACACAUAACCCAAACUCACGCAGAUUGUACCCCUACCCAGUUGGACAGAGAACCAGCUACACCCCUUCUAACCCCAACCCCAGCAGAUAGUAACCUAGUUCCUGUUGACACAACACCGUCUCCACCACAGAGCACCCAAACACGAACAGUUAGUAAGGCAACUGCAGUGCCCAAAGAACGAGGACCACCACUCCGAACCCCAAGUCAACGCUUAAACCAGAAGAAGAAUUGUUCUCAGGUCAGGUGCCGUAGCUAUGGUUCAUACCACUUUGCUCUUGCAUCACUGUAUUUACUCAUACCAACUAAUUUCAAAUUUGAAGGAUGCAGUUGA